Molecule: long non-coding RNA, 1073 nt
Filed under: Olea europaea (common olive)
Lineage: Eukaryota; Viridiplantae; Streptophyta; Magnoliopsida; Lamiales; Oleaceae
Description: long non-coding RNA (OEUR_LNC001540)
Source: RNAcentral
AAGUGGUGUGGAGAUUUAUGAUUCUUUCUCUCUCUGUAAUUGAAGUCUUCACUCUCAAAUAAGCAGCAAAAAUAUCCCAGUAGAGAAAUGAAGUUGACACCGCCAAUAAAAGAUAACAUUUUUAUAUUUGGAAGCUGGUGGCGAGAAUGGUGUCCUACUAGAACUUUAUCUGCUAAAAUUUGUGUGCAAUUGAAUGGAAAUAAUGAGCCAAGAAUCCAGGAUACCUACUAGCAUGCGAUGAAGGUAAACAAAUGCUCAUUUGCCUAUUAGUAAUGAAUAAAGACAAUCUCAUUUCUCAAACUUCUUCCUUGCCGUCGAGGACUACUACACGGCGUUCAACAAGAAAGAUAGUUGUCGGAGAUGAAGGUGAAAAGGAGGUUUCAAUUGAAACUCCGGCGUUUGCAGCGACUACUGGAAAGAGGGCUCACGUGUCGAUGGUUCGGAGAAAAGUUCAGACUCAAUUUGAAGAGGAGGAAAUUGAAAACGAGAAAAAGAGUUUUCCACCAAUCCUGCUCCAUUGGGGACUACUGACGGGAGAAAGGUAUGUGUAUAUAGAGAGAGAGAUUCCAAUGGAAAAUUAUAAGUAUUCCAUGUACACUAUCUGACAGUUUCUCCGUACAUAUAGCACUUCUUGUUGAAUAAUCAAUGUACCAGUCUUGUUUUCACCGUCCAACCAUCUAUCGAAACAGUCCCCAUGACCCCACGCCAACCCCACCUCUGGAAACUUCAAUGCUUUACCCACUAUCUGCCAAAACUUAACUUUAAUUUCUUAGUCGCUCGUUGGUUCAAGUAUUGAUAGAUUUUCUCUGUUUUUCCAAUACCCAUAUGGUUAUGAGUAUGAAUUCCAGCUUUGUGGCGAGUUCUCGCGAUCCGAGAUAUGCACUGAAACUUUUAGUGUCACCCCAUCAAAGAUUGAUCAACUCCAAUUUACUGUAUCGGAAAUGUAGACCAUUUCGUGUGCCUAGAAAUCAAAUGUUUCGAGUAUACUGCGACUCGCAGGUGACUGACCAGUACACUUUUGUGUUUGGAUGUAAUUACUGUAAUUUGUUCUUGAACGCACUUUUAUGAUGUUG